RNAcentral lists this non-coding RNA (23 nucleotides) under Arabidopsis thaliana (thale cress). The record is from RNAcentral. Lineage: Eukaryota; Viridiplantae; Streptophyta; Magnoliopsida; Brassicales; Brassicaceae.
UUGUUACAACUAGUGCGACUUUU